GGGGGCGUACUGGUUUCGACUGGUGGUUUGAAGGAUUGGCUGCAUGCCGAGGUUGAUCAGUUGGCCUCGUAAAAAGCUGAUCAAAACAAUAAAUGCAAAUAACGAACCCGAACUUGCGCUGGCUGCCUAAUUAGGCACCCCGUGGCUCCCUCGACGCCUGCUGAGGGGAGCCGCGACAUUUUAGCAGGCUGGUCGUCCGCCGGGUGUCCGGGCGGAACGACGAGAGGUUACAGUGACAAUCGAGAUUCAAGGAUUCUGUUCAUCGAAGCCCUGGUCUCUAAAUCAAAAGAUGAAACUAAGCAUGUAGGCGCUGAUUUAGACGGCCAUUAGGACAGGGGUUCGACUCCCCUCGCCUCCACCA
RNAcentral lists this transfer-messenger RNA (361 nucleotides) under Verrucomicrobiales. RNAcentral describes it as "JAEUHH01 sp020440025 Standard tmRNA". It matches the Rfam family "transfer-messenger RNA". Rfam says of the family: Bacterial tmRNA, also known as 10Sa RNA or SsrA, is named for its dual tRNA and mRNA-like properties. Its role is to liberate the mRNA from a stalled ribosome. Lineage: Bacteria; Pseudomonadati; Verrucomicrobiota; Verrucomicrobiia. The record is from RNAcentral. RNAcentral also lists the same sequence under 1 other name.